This 536-nucleotide ribosomal RNA is filed under the name Pseudomonas extremaustralis 14-3. RNAcentral's name for it is "bacterial SSU rRNA". It matches the Rfam family "Bacterial small subunit ribosomal RNA", at positions 64 to 595 of the family's 1533-position model. The record is from RNAcentral. Lineage: Bacteria; Pseudomonadati; Pseudomonadota; Gammaproteobacteria; Pseudomonadales; Pseudomonadaceae.
GAGCGGUAGAGAGAAGCUUGCUUCUCUUGAGAGCGGCGGACGGGUGAGUAAUGCCUAGGAAUCUGCCUGGUAGUGGGGGAUAACGUUCGGAAACGGACGCUAAUACCGCAUACGUCCUACGGGAGAAAGCAGGGGACCUUCGGGCCUUGCGCUAUCAGAUGAGCCUAGGUCGGAUUAGCUAGUUGGUGAGGUAAUGGCUCACCAAGGCGACGAUCCGUAACUGGUCUGAGAGGAUGAUCAGUCACACUGGAACUGAGACACGGUCCAGACUCCUACGGGAGGCAGCAGUGGGGAAUAUUGGACAAUGGGCGAAAGCCUGAUCCAGCCAUGCCGCGUGUGUGAAGAAGGUCUUCGGAUUGUAAAGCACUUUAAGUUGGGAGGAAGGGCAGUUACCUAAUACGUGAUUGUUUUGACGUUACCGACAGAAUAAGCACCGGCUAACUCUGUGCCAGCAGCCGCGGUAAUACAGAGGGUGCAAGCGUUAAUCGGAAUUACUGGGCGUAAAGCGCGCGUAGGUGGUUUGUUAAGUUGGAUGU